RNAcentral lists this ribosomal RNA (253 nucleotides) under uncultured bacterium. RNAcentral's name for it is "partial 16S ribosomal RNA". It matches the Rfam family "Bacterial small subunit ribosomal RNA", at positions 524 to 776 of the family's 1533-position model. The record is from RNAcentral.
UACGGAGGGUGCAAGCGUUAUCCGGAUUCACUGGGUUUAAAGGGUGCGUAGGUGGGAAUGUAAGUCAGUGGUGAAAUCUCCGUGCUUAACAUGGAAACUGCCAUUGAUACUAUGUUUCUUGAAUUUUCUGGAGGUCAGCGGAAUAUGUCAUGUAGCGGUGAAAUGCUUAGAUAUGACAUAGAACACCAAUUGCGAAGGCAGCUGACUACAGGGAUAUUGACACUGAUGCACGAAAGCGUGGGGAUCAAACAGG